Molecule: long non-coding RNA, 9988 nt
Organism: Tyto alba (common barn owl)
Lineage: Eukaryota; Metazoa; Chordata; Aves; Strigiformes; Tytonidae
Exons: 2
Source: RefSeq, a predicted model, not a curated record
GCAAAGCUAACUGUUUUUCUGCACCCUGUGAGAGUUCAUGGAUGGCUGCAGUCAUUAACUCUGAGGCCCACUGACUUAUUCAGUAGUACCGUUGAUGGAUCCAUCGUGUCAUGUUUUCAUUUCAGCACUUGUAGAUCUUGGGAGCUUUCCAGUGAGUGAGUCUGCACGUUUCCAGUGUUCACCCUGCUGGUGCUUCUAAAUUGGGGUUUUUGACACUGCCUGUUGUGACUUGAAGAAUUUUUUUUGUCUUAGAUGGCUUUCACCUGCACAGGGCUAGAGUGCUUCCUCCAGAAAUCGGCAGAGGGAUCAUAAACAAGCAACAACAAAUAAGCAAUCAAACAAAGAAACAAACAAAGAAACAUACAAACAGGGAAAAAAAAAUCCUUUUAAAUAAAAUUUUUAAAUUAUUUUUGCUUUCAACAAGGAGACAGCCAACAUAGUUUUCACUACUGACCUGGGAAGGAAAAGGUCCUGCUGAUUUCCAGUAAAAUUCUGCUUGAUAAAAUCUUUUUAUGGUGGAUAUUGAAAUUCCAGCCUCAGUGAAGGGAAUGAAAAAGUCUGGACAGAUGUAAAGGAAUUGGAUCCUUCCUCUCUAUGUUUCAGCACCAAGGAAGCAGAGUACAGGACUCAUUUUGAUCUGUUAACCUCAGAAAAGGUCCUGCUUUGUUGAGGGAAGUUGAUAUUGAGACCUCUCUGAGGAAAGGCUUACAAUUCCUUUUUCAUAUUGCUCAUCCAUUCCUACUGUUAACCUUUACCGCAGUCUUGCUGCAAAUGAAUGGGAUGGACAUUUAGGAUGGGAUCUAUGUAAUCUAGCUGUUGCCACCUAGAAAUUUAAUGUCUAAUUCUGGCUUUUUCCAUAGUUAGUAGAGAGACAGGAAAGAUCACCCUCUUUUAAAAGGUGUAUCUGAGGCAGAUGAGAUGAAAUUCCCAUGGGGAUAUCUACCAUGCUCCACUAAGUAUAUAAGACCUAGAGAACUGGUUUAGGAUACCCAGGUUUCCAGGAAUUUUUACCAUGUAACCCCUUCCCCUCUGCCUCUGACUUACAAUGCAGAUCUCACCAAAACCAAACUGUACAACAGUAUCAUAGAAAAUCAUUAUUUUCCUCCCUCUAUGACUUAUGUAUAUAUUAUACUCACCCCAAUGACAACCCAAGAUGAUUUUUUUGUUCCUCAGAGGAGAUUUAACCUGGCAUCUGAACAGCAUCUUACAUUUUUUCUGCCCUGACCUCCAAAAUAUAAAUGUACCCUGGCCCUGAGGACAUCUACAUCUGGAGCUGGCUCUGAACUUCAUGGUGGCCUCUGGAAUAAAAGCAAACCUCUAGAUAGCAACAUCUGUGAUCUCUGGAGGAAGUCAGAGCUGACCGUUAACUGCACAGUGCUGCUCAUCUCGGCCAGAAAUGAAGUUAUUAAAGGCAGCUUCUGCCUUGUGAUUUUUGGUUUGGGGGAGGAAAAAAGUAGAAUCCACUCUGCCUUACUACACAGUAUCUACCUGUCCUACUGGAUAUGUUAUGUGCUAUGUACUGAAAGAGAAAAGCCUAUGAAAUAAGGUAACAGUUGCUACACCCUUAGCCUUUGAUAAUCUAUGAUGAUAAUAAACCCAUCUGGUGGGUGGUUUCUCCGUCACUCGUGGGGUCACAUCAACACAUAUUAAGUUGCUGGCACAGAAGCACUCCAAUGACAUUGGUUUCAGGGGGUGGAAAAGCCCAUGAGAAGCAGAGGAGAAGGUUUUCCACACCUGAGGAAGGUCAACACAAAGUCUGAAAGAAACCAGACAAGUUUCUUUGCUAGGGGAGGAGAGGAAGGCUUUCAAAGAACUGUUUGCAGCUCCCUGAGCCUCCCACCUGAUGCGCGUCCUCUUGGCACAGGUUAGAGUAGCCCUCAGGCGACGUUUCCUACAAAACCACAUGCAAGUUGUGUGCAGCAAGAGUGCGGUGAACGCUCAUUGUGCCACCUCUGUUUCCCUCCAUCUUCCUGCCGCUAUCUGCCUCUUUGUAAGACCAGCAAGGUCAUCUGCAGCUUCCAGGAGCGUCCGUGGGCCUGGCUGCUGUUUACCCUCUGAUCUCGGGCGAGCUAACAGAAAAAACAUCCCAUCUCCUGUGACUGCUUUGAUCUGAAGUAGUUUGAAGACUAAUGCCUGAAAGUCAUGGUGGGGGGAGGAGGGAGCAAGAUGAAAGGGAUGAGGCAGAAAGGGGUUGUAUGUUUUGGUUAUUUGUGUUUUUCAAGAGAAGCCUGAAUAAAGACGCUCCUAAACAUCCCAACGGAGAUGUUCUGGGCAGCCUGCAGUGUCCCAAGGGGCUGUAUUACAGAGUGGCCUUUUUCUGAGGAGAAUACACGAAAAGCAUGUGGGAGAGAGCUUGUUUUCCACCAGGCAAAAUGAAGUCCUCAGAAGAGCCACAGCAUGCUGGCUGAGGCAGGAAGGCCUAGAGCACUUCCUUGGUAUGCAGACUUUAGCUUGGCAAGAAGACUUUGUUGGGCCUGGGAUGCCAAGCAAUUUGGACAGACUCCAGCCCCAUCACAGAAAUGCUCUCUGCCCGCCUCCGGGAGAAACAUUAAUUGGGCUCCUUGGGUCUUCCCGGUGCCACCGGCCCGCUCACCCCAUCACGAGCUGGAUGCAGGACCAGCUACCCAGAUGCAGCCACCUGGACUUAUCAGAACGAGCCUGAUUUUAAGACAUCUGAAACCACAGAAAGAAAACCCCUCGGUCUUCAGUGAUUCCAGAUCCCAACAUUCUUCAGGUCCUGCCGCAUGGAGGUUCCUGGCGAGCAACCAAAAUAUCGCCGUCCCAAACACAAUCCUACCACACUGUCACAUGUGGAUUCACCGUUUCUCCAGGCUAGGGAAGCUUUGCUACCAAAGAAGCAAGGGAAACAAUCAGAGGGUUUCAACUGUAAGAAACGUGCUUGAAUGAAAAACUUGCGAGUGCUCCAAGUAGAAGUGCCUGCUGAUUUCUCCCACGAUUGCGGGUUGAUAAAGUGCCUGGCCGGUGGCAGGAGGCAGGUAAGUCAGACAGCUGAGGAUUUGCCUGACAUUCAAGGAUUAAUACACAAGCAGAGAACACCUUGAUUUACAUCAGCUGUAUGGAAUAUGCCAUAAAAAGCCACAUCAGGGAGAGGAAAAAGCAUGAGCAAUUUUUGAACCUUGGUUGUGAUUCAGUGGCUAGAAACAGCAAGGGGAAUCACUGUCCUUACACAUUUUUAUCCCUGAUUACGGUAUGACAAUGAAUACUGUAUCCCUGAUUAGGGGUGACAGUAAACUGGGAUGACAGCAGAGUGGUAAAGCUUCUGCCAGAGAAGGAAGGGGACUGUGCAGCUGCCCUUUGCCCACUGGCCUGUGCGGAUGUCUUCCCAUGCCCCCAGCUUGCUGCAGGAGCGUGACAGUGGCCACGCCAAGGGGCCAUGGGAGCAAAUGUGUGGACUGAACAGGACUCUGAGAAAUAACUGCAGCUUUAGAGAUCCUUGAGGUCACGCAAAAAGAGCAGCAAAAUGUUGUAAGAAAAGUAAUACUGGAAAGCAAGAACAUAAAAAUAAGCAAAGCAAGAACAUGUGAUAUUUUCUGAGAAUGCUUUCCAAGUACCCAACAAUCUCCAGCUCAGGUGUUUCCAGGUGCAGUCCUUCAGAUUUAAAAGCCUUCCAUGCAUUUUCCUCCUGCAAUUUGACCACUAUGCUUUUUAAUCUCGUCAUCUCUUUUCCAGAGAUGUUAUUAGUCUCGUACAGAGCCCACUGCAUGCUUUUGUCACCCUCUGCACCUUUCCUGGUGCUUCUGUACCCCUUGAGACCAGAGCACAAGAGCGUGUCACAGAUUGAUGAUGGGUGAAAGCUCCUCUUUCCUCUGCCAGCUACAGCCACGGCAGCAGAGUCAGCAGGAAAGAGCUAAUGAAGGCAGCCCGCUACGAUCAGAGAAGUCGUUUCCCUGCUUGAUGCCUCGCUUCAGCAGUAACACUGCCACGUGCAUUGCUGCCAAGGUCCAUGGCUGCAGAUUCAAGCACGGCCAGUAGUUCCAAGGCCCCGACGGCUGUGCAUGGAUUAGGCAGAAAAGUAACCAGCCUGGAGCAAAGAGCAACUUCUCUCUGUGUGUGAGGGUGUGUGUUGCUGUACUUCUGUAACAGGAGUCAAAGUGCUGAGGAGAAAGCACGUACCCCCAUUUUUCAGGCUGCUAUUUUAGCACCGCAUCACUUUGCCUGAGAUUGUCAGGUGCUGUGUUAGUGUAACAGCUUUCCUUCAUCACCAGGGGUAUCCAAAACAAUGUUUACAUCAGUGGUCAGCAUAGAGCCCUCCUCCCUGAAAAAUUAAGUUUAUGCCUGGUUGGUAUAACAAGCGGAGACUGUUGAAGUAUUUGGUCAUUUAUGACAAGACCCCAGGGCCAUAUAAAUCUCUUUUAGGGCAGUGAGAGGCAGGUAGCCACCAGGACUGUAUCUGACCUACUGCAGAAUGUGGCAUCUGGCCAGUGAUGUGUCCUGGUUUGGCCGAUUCACCAAGUGGGUGUACCUGUGCAAAGUAUCAAACCACUAAAAACUUGCUGUGUUUGCUAUGUCCACGAAAUACAGAUUUAGGAAAGCGUGACAGCUUCUUUGCCUCUGUCCUCUGAGGCUGUCGUUCAGCCACGGAGUGCAAUUCCCUCCUUUGUGAUGAAGGGAAUUUGGCAUUCAGGCCCGGGAGGUGCCUGAGACCAGCCCACCUAAUAAGCUGUAGGUUUCUGAGGCUGUGAAUGCUCGGAUUUCUGCUCAAAGGUAAUCUCAGACAGGUCCUCAGUGGCGGUUUCUCUUCAGCCAACCUGCCUAUUUUUAUCAAACUCACAGAAACACACUUCCUGUGAGAUCACCAACCUCCAGUGAAAUUUUGAUGACAAUGCAUGCUGGAAUCAAGAGCUAUUAAUGAGGGGUGGACAGGUGGAGCCACACAGAGACACACUUCCCAGUGCAUGUGCCGAUAUACAAUUUUUUAGGAACCAGGCUAAAGCUUACCUUGUGUCUACUGUUGUCCCAACUCUCUGUGUGAAUCACAAAGUAGUUGUCCUAAUAUCGGAGAAAGAGGGAUGCAGAUUUUUUCUUUAAACCUGAAAAGAUAUCUAGGAAUAUGGGGAAAUGUGGGAGAGGCAUGUAUACGUAACAAAAAUGGUAAAUAAAUACUCAGUACUUUCCUGGGCAGCGAAAUAACAAAUCAAAGUUAAGAGAAACAGGAAACACAGAAACUCAUGUAAUGAGACUGCAGGUUAGUCUGAAAAUAACCUAAAAUUCUUCAGAAUUCACAGCAGCUUGCUGCAUCCCUUUCCUCCCAUCACGUUUGCAUCAUGGAAAAUUAGCUUUUUGCUGCUGAAAUCCACAGUUUCAGAUGAAUUUCUUAGCCAGGCCUAGAAAAGUACAUAAGUACCUAGUGUUUAUUCUAGGGGUUGUAAUUCUCAUUGAUCUCAAAGCCUUUGAGAAUCUGAGCUUAUUAUCUAUUGCACAAUUUUCAAAGCUGUCUAGGGUACCUGCUAAUGUAGGUAUCUGAGGUAACUGCUGGGAGCUCCAAAGGCCCUUUUAUUAGCCUGAACUAAAGCAAUUUUGGAUCCUUAAUUAAGUAGCACCAUUAUCAAAUCCAGGAGGAAAAAAAAAAUAAAAAAAAAAACAACCAACCAACCAAACAACAGGCUUGCACAGAGUAGAUUACACACUACUGUGGCUGUGUAAGAGCCCUGUCACCGCAGGUUUUGGAGUAACAGCCCUGCUGGGAAUUAAGACAAGGAAAACAAGGCGGGAGGAGGAUGCACUUUCCACCUGCCUUAAAUCAGAGCCAAGACCUCCUGCAUCGGGGAGUGCAAGUUCAGACUCUGGCAUGGUGCGGCCAUGGGGCAGGGCGGCAGCCCCAGGCUGAAGCCCCCCGAUCCUGCGUCAGGGCUGCUGACCCACGGGGCACGUGUGCUUCUUGGGCGGGGGGGUGAAGAGGUCCUAACUCAGCCUUGUAACCCCCUUCAGCUUGCAAAGGAGCUUGAAGAAAAAUAAACAGAGGCAAAGCCACGCUCCGCCCCUUGCUCACACGCCACCUCUUUUCAGGGGUGAAAGAGUGGCUCUAUUAGAGGCAGUGGAUAUGCUGAGCAGAGCCACCGCAUCUUUCUGGUGGGUAAGGAAAGGCAGCAGAGGCAGCAGCUGGAGCAGGCUGAAAGCUUUUUCUGAGUGGCACAGGAAAAGAAACCAUUAUGAGAGUGCGCUAAAAGGCUAUUCAUUGCUAAGGAAAGGGCUACUGAAGAAUGUGGGACACAUGCCGAAAGCUGCCAGCCAGAGCAACAGGAAGAUUAUUAAAGCCCUUUGCAAAGACCCCCAUCUCCUUCCUUUGGCAGUGGCGAUUCUGGACAUGGAAUCAUUUCAGACCUACCCAUUGAAAUCCUGUAAAUAGCUGUCUGCAGGGAGAGAGAAGCUGGGUUACAGCUACAGGGAUUUCUUCAUGUGGGAACUGUAGGUAAAACACCUAUAUCGUGACCAAAUACAGUUAGGAAGGAAGGCAAAUGCACACCCUGGAGAAGCUCUCCUUGAAUUAUCAGGCCGUAAGGGGAGUGACUGGAACUCCUAAAGGAAGCAAAUGUGGCUGUUUUCAGCUGUGCUCCUCAGCGGGGAGCAACGCCGACCUUCUCCAUGCUGGCUGCUUGUGUGGGGUCUGUGCAUGCAGGAGGCUGGGGCUAGGAAGGCUUUUCUGCCUUCAAAUUGGAAUAUUUUGCCCUGAGUAAGCAGCUCGCUGUACUGACAGACGAGAGAGCUGUCUCCUGCUUUCUGUCUCCCAGUUUCUGUCUUCCUUUCCUGCCUGCUCUUCCAUUUCUUUCCUUUUCCCACCUCAGCUUUUUAUCUCCUUGGAGCUGUUUGGGAAGAGUGCCUGUGAGACAAACCCUAGCCAAGGGGCACCCAUCCAAGGAACAAAGCCCCCGAAAAAUGCCUUGUACAAGCCAGGCUCUCUGCAAAGCCCCCGAAAAAUGCCUUGUACAAGCCAGGCUCUCUGCAGUGAUGCUGAUCCCAUGGCUCUUGACUUAAAUUGCUGUGCCCAUAACUAUUAACUUUUAGGGCCUGAUACAGUCCCUGCCUUCAGGGCACAACCUGGUGGGAGCCCAGUAGUGGUAGGUGCUGUACAGACACAGCAGGGAAAUGUCCUAACACGAAGGGUUUCUGCGGGCUGAGAAGAGAAGUGGCGGCAUGGGGAGGUAAAGUGACUUUCCCAAGCUCUUUGAUCUGCUUUGUCCCAUGCUGUCCCCUCCCUGGACCUGCACCAUAUAUUCAAAGGCAAUAGCAUAGCUCCGGGCUGGGAGCGUUGCUUUCCUGCCUCUAGGAACAGCUUGCCAGGGAAGCAGCAUGAAGGAGGAGGCAAGGUGGUACUCUUGUGGGAUUGUGAGGGUGACUACUCUUGGCUGUAAAGACACACCAACAUCUCUGCUUUCAUAUCCAAGGGUUUAAAAGUCAUGAGUCUGGUCCCUCCAAAAUCACUAGACUUUAUGGUUUAAAAAGCACGGGGUCUAAAAUAAAAAUAAGUGCAUGUUCUUUAUUUGCCUUUGAGUCAUAUUUUUGAGCUUUUCCCCCCAGAACCACAGUAUCUAUUCUGCCCUUUGGUUAGGGAACACAGGGCAUCUUCCUUGUUUGCUCACUCAGACAUAAUCACACGACUUUCUAGAACCUGAAGUCUUCGAGGCCCCUAACUCUCCAUCCACCUUCAUUAAAUUUGGUCAAUAGGUUCAAGUUAUGAGGGAAUCGAGUGGUAGAGAUACAUAUGCCCAUGCAUACCACCAUUAAAUACACAUUGUGUCCUUAGAAAAUAGGCCAGAAAUAGAGAUGUAAAAGGUUAUUGAUGCAUUUUAAAAGUAUAAAACUAAAUCUUCUCGGAGUGGAGGAAAGGAAAGACAUGGAAACACUUAAUGUGUUGGAAAAACAGCCCAGCGGCUGGACCAGGAGUCUCUCUGGAAAGAAAAAAGAACAUUCAAUAACCAAGUUCAGCUGAAGAAAAACCAUAGAAAACAAACUGCCAACACCAGGAAUUUGGGGAAAGGGUCAAUGCUGGAAAAGGGGGAGAAAAGAGCACAGAGAAUUACUUAGUUCAAGUAAAAACACAGCAGUACAUCUGAAGAACAUAACAGGGAGGCGCAUGUUGCAACUGGCCAGGAUGAAAAGAAUCAAAAAAGAAAGGAGAGGCAAACACAGUUUUAGAAGUAAUGACAGGGAAAUCAGAUUUUCAGGCAGAGCUCAGACAUGUUGGCUAAGUGGAGCCUUGUGAGCACUGCAUGAUGCUUAAUCCGAAAGGAAUCCCAAAUUCCAGUAACAAUAUCUACUUCAAGCCAGCAGAUGUACUGUCUCACCUAUGCCUUUGGGGCACAGAAAAAUACUGGUGUUUGUAGGUUUGCCCUUCCCUGCAUCCAUCCCGAAUCCUGACUUACCUGUGCAGGGGCCACAGCUCCUAAAGAGGCAAGAAAGGAGAAGUUCAGCUGGGCCCAGCUGAAAAAACAGUCAGGCCUCUGCGUGCAAAAGCCUCGUGGCAUUUUCACCCCAGCCUGGCCAGGACAGGAGUGCAGGUCACUUUGAUCUCCCUAGUUUCCCUCCCCCAAAUUAAAUGACUGAAGUGUUUAUCUGUUCUCUUCCAGGGGACCAGGAAGAGCUCAGAUACGUCUACUGCUGCAGCGCAUUUAUGCAAAUGGUGACUGGGUGCUACUCGGUCCCCUAAUGACCUGGUGCUGAGAAGAAAAAAAGGGUGCAGCCAGGGUACCCCAGGGCCUGCACAAGGAUGAACUCCUGCCAUGAGCCUCAUGAGCGUGGCCGCCCCUUGCUCCCAGCUGGAAACAGCCAGAGAGCGGCUUCAGGGCAAAUCACAAGAUCCAGCCUGAGCUGAGAAGGCGAAGCUGAUAGGGACAGGAGGUCACUAUGGUGGGUCUUGCAAGGUAGGAAGUUCCUCCGUGGAAAAACACCACCUCCUCCUACUUCUGCUCAAUCCAAACUACGGCGCAAGCAGCCGGGCACAGCCAUAUCCCACCCUCGGCAGCACGCUCGUCUGUCUUGUUGAUUCAGUUCAUUCCCUGUGGGGCAGGAUGGGGCAGGAUUUGGCCCUUUGUCUCUCAACGUCUGCACAAUCUGUGGGCUUUGCAAGCAGUGAACUGGAAAAAAUGAAGAGUUGACAAUUAAAUGCUCAAAAUCUGCUGGGACUUUGUCCGGAGUGGGCUAAGCAAACAAGUACAGAUGGAGUGACCUAUGAUCUGCACAUUUAAGGGUGUACUCUACACUGCUUCAUUUGGUUUAAUCAUCUUAAUUUACAAGCCAGGUUUCUUGCUUAAUUAGUCAAAUGAAGAAUGAAAAGUGAAUGCAUAGAAGUAAGCCUCAACUUGUUCAGCUGGCUUAUAACCUCCAUUACUGAGCUAGAAGAAUUAUGUUGAUUUGGUGUCUGAAGGUUUAAUGUGCCUCUUCACAUGGUGCAGAAAAUGAUGAAGAAUUGACAAAGAAAGGGAGCGAGCUGGUCAGUAGCCCUUGACCUCAAGGGCUCUCAGUGAAGGCCGAGGCAGUGACCGUAGGAUGCUCUUGGAAGGAUUAUUUUGGGUGAAGGAGGUUGCAAACCUUAGAGAUGCUGCUGUGCACGACACAGCAUUUGCUUGCAGACCCAGAGCAAGGUUCCCACUUCAUCCCCAAACGAUUCCCCCAGGAACACAAGAAAAUCGCUUAGGGGUUAGUGUCUUUCACGGGAGAGCAUCACCAGCCAGAUCCAGCAGGUUCUGGACACAUUUUUCUUCACGGGACAUUGACCACUGUUGAUCCCACUUACGUGGAACAACGUGAUACCAUCUCUCAUGUGCCUCCAGGCGGCUAAAGAGGACCACAGGGAAAACGGCAAAAAAAAUCUUUCCUAGUUCAGCAUUUUCAGACAAAACUGUUUUCAAGGAAUGAAUUCUGAUGAUAAGGCAGGGUUGGUUUUUUUCCACUUUGAAACCAAUCUUUUUCUAGAUUCAGAGGGCUGUUCCCUCCAUACUGUCAAAUAGAAAAAUGAUUUAAAAAUGUCUGA